AUUGAACGCUGGCGGAUGCUUAACACAUGCAAGUCGAACGCGAAAGUCCUUCGGGCGAGUAGAGUGGCGGACGGGUGAGUAACGCGUGGGAAUCUACCCUAGAGCGGGGGACGAACCCGGGGAAACCCGGGCUAAUACCGCAUACGUCCUACGGGAGAAAGAGGGCCUCUGCUUGCACGCUCUCACUCCAGGAUGAGCCCACGUCCGAUUAGCUAGUUGGUAGGGUAAAGGCCUACCAAGGCCACGAUCGGUAGCUGGUCUGAGAGGAUGAUCAGCCACACUGGGACUGAGACACGGCCCAGACUCCUACGGGAGGCAGCAGUGGGGAAUAUUGGACAAUGGGCGCAAGCCUGAUCCAGCAAUGCCGCGUGUGUGAAGAAGGCCUGCGGGUUGUAAAGCACUUUCAGUGGGGAAGAACAGAUUCGGGUCAAUACCCCGGAGCCCUGACGUUACCCACAGAAGAAGCACCGGCUAACUCCGUGCCAGCAGCCGCGGUAAUGUGUG
RNAcentral lists this ribosomal RNA (504 nucleotides) under uncultured bacterium. RNAcentral's name for it is "bacterial SSU rRNA". It matches the Rfam family "Bacterial small subunit ribosomal RNA", at positions 29 to 529 of the family's 1533-position model. The record is from RNAcentral.